GUAAAAGAGAGGGUUUGUGGGGUAGGAUAGGGACUGAGAGGGGAGCAGCUCUUUAUUUUAUUUUUUUUAAAUUCAUAGUGCUCCCCCCUCUUGUCAAUGAGUGAUCUCUCCUUCCCUCCUGUCCCUCAGUGUUCUCCCCCUCUUCCCCUUAGUGCUCUUCCUUGGCCCCCUGUCCCCCUGCAGUCCCCCCUUGGUGGUCUUCUCAGUCCCCC
Pelobates cultripes (western spadefoot toad) is the source of this 212-nucleotide non-coding RNA. The record is from the annotation of a GenBank genome assembly. NCBI's taxonomy places the organism in Eukaryota, Metazoa, Chordata, Amphibia, Anura, Pelobatidae.